AUGGGGAACUGCCAGGCGGCGGACGCGGCGGCGGUGGUGAUCCAGCACCCGGGCGACGCCAAGGUGGAGCGCCUCCACUGGCCGACCACCGCGGCGGACGUCAUGCGCAGGAACCCCGGCACUACGUCGCCCUCGUCCUCCUCCACCACAAAUCUGGCGGCGUUGACCACGCCGUCGCCGGAGAAAGAGGAGGUGACCAAGGCCGUUCAGAUGAGGAAGCAGGAGAGGAUGCGCGUCUGCGACGAGGCGAUUGAGCAGCAGCGGCCGCGGCUGCACCGGCGACGUCAACUACCGAGGCCGAGAGGAGAGGACGCGGCGGCCGCCCCCAGCGGAGAACAGAGGCAGCCUGCCGACCACCAGGAACGGAAGCGGCUGGAGAAGGACCGGCACCACCGGAGCAUCACCGCCGCCCCCGGCAGAGGCAGAGGCAGAGGCGGGCACUGGCGCCCGGCGCUGCAGAGCAUCACAGAGUCGUCGUCGAGCGGACACACCGAAUGCGAGGAUACACCCUGGCCCGGCGAGCCUGAUUCUAUUGAGCCGGUUUGA
Molecule: ribosomal RNA, 546 nt
Filed under: Triticum aestivum (bread wheat)
Lineage: Eukaryota; Viridiplantae; Streptophyta; Magnoliopsida; Poales; Poaceae
Description: partial small subunit ribosomal RNA
Source: RNAcentral